RNAcentral lists this long non-coding RNA (974 nucleotides) under Heterocephalus glaber (naked mole-rat). RNAcentral's name for it is "lncRNA (ENSHGLG00000033868.1)". The record is from RNAcentral. Lineage: Eukaryota; Metazoa; Chordata; Mammalia; Rodentia; Bathyergidae.
UAACUUUUUCUAUGUUGUACUGUUAUAAGAACUAGGAAUUUUUAACCUUACCUCUCAAGCUACUCCUAAUUUUCUUUCAUUAUAUUUGCUCUUGUGAUCUAUAUUUUGCUUCAAUGAAUCCUCCCACCAGUCCAUUACUGUUUUCCUUUUUAUUCUCAUAGCAAAACCUAUGUUAAGUGAUUUUUUUUUGUACUGGGGAUCGAACUCAGGUCCUUGCACUUGCACAGCAGGCGGCGAAACCACUGAGCUAAAUCCCUGGCCCCUGUUAAGUGAUUUUUUUCAAGGAAGCUGAUUGUAAGAUGUUGGAUCUAAUCCAGUCUCUAGCAUUGGUAAAUAGUGGUUAAACCGAAAUGAAAGCCAAUUAACUUCAUAACUGUUGCCUGCUUUCAUGUUGCUCUUCUUUGCUUUCCCUUCCCCUCUUUUCUUUUUUACUGAGCACUGCUGUAUGCGACCACACGUCAGGCCAACUCCUGGACAGACAGUGGACGUAGCACACGGUCUCUGCUCCCAUGAGCCCAACAGCUGGAUUGCGGACAUAGCAGAAACAAAAAAAUAAGAAAGACAAAAAAGGGAAAAGAAAACUCUGUGUCCCUAAACAUCACAGGAAAACCUCGUGAGAAGAUAUUUUAGAUCUACAAUGAGCCCCAAAUGUAAAGGUGACUAGAUCACGGAGGCGCUGUACUCAUUAGUGGCUUCACCAUGGAUGAGUUCAUAGCUAAAUGUGCUGUUAGGAAAUGGACCCGGUUGGAAGAGGUGGACUGCUCAGAGACACAUUUCAUGAGGCUCCUCAGAAGUACUGAGCAACGUAGGUCCAAGACUGUGGCCAAUACAUACCCUUCUGUCAACUUCUCUCCCUUCCUUGCCUCAUUUCUCUUAUGUUUCUUUCACUUCUGAGCUUUGAGACCAUUUCCUAAAAAACUGCUUAUAAGUAGGGCUUUUUUCUAAGUUUUACUUCAGGAAACAUUCACAGUGAC